RNAcentral lists this ribosomal RNA (395 nucleotides) under uncultured bacterium. Its description in RNAcentral is "bacterial SSU rRNA". It matches the Rfam family "Bacterial small subunit ribosomal RNA", at positions 140 to 518 of the family's 1533-position model. The record is from RNAcentral.
GGGAUAGCCCAGGGAAACCUGGAUUAAUACCGGAUGACGACGGGACCCGCGAAGGCGGGACCCGGGAAAGGCGCUGCGGCGCCGCCGGGGAUGAGUCUGCGUCCCAUUAGCUAGACGGCGGGGUAACGGCCCACCGUGGCGACGAUGGGUAGCCGGCCUGAGAGGGUGGACGGCCACAUUGGAACUGAGACACGGUCCAGACUCCUACGGGAGGCAGCAGCUAAGAAUCUUCCGCAAUGGGCGAAAGCCUGACGGAGCGACGGUCCCGCGUGAAACGAAGAAGGCCGUGAGGUUGUAAAGUUCUUUUCGGGAGGGGGAACAACCGUGGCAGGGAAUGGCCGCGGGAUGACGUGAAUCCCGGAAUAAGCCCCGGCUAACUACGUGCCAGCAGCGGC